RNAcentral lists this ribosomal RNA (406 nucleotides) under uncultured bacterium. Its description in RNAcentral is "partial 16S ribosomal RNA". It matches the Rfam family "Bacterial small subunit ribosomal RNA", at positions 29 to 526 of the family's 1533-position model. The record is from RNAcentral.
AUUGAACGCUGGCGGCAGGCCUAACACAUGCAAGUCGAGCGAGCGGCGGACGGGUGUGUAAUGUAUGGGGCUCUGCUAGACAGAGCGGGAUAACUACUGGAAACGGUGGCUAAUACUGCAGAUUAUCGGAAGAACGCAGAUGGGAUUAGCUAGUUGGUGGGGUAAGGGCACGCCUAGGCGACGAUCUCUAGCUGGUCUGAGAGGAGGACCAGCCCAACUGGGACUGAUGCACGACCCAGGCGCCUGCGUGAGGCAGCGUUGGGGAAUAUUGCACAAUGGGCGCCAGCGUAAUGCAGCCAUGCCGCGUGUAUGAAGAAGGCCUUGGGGUUGUGAAGUACUUUCAGCGGGGAGGCGUUACCCGCAGAAGAAGCACCGGCUAACUCCGUGCCAGCAGCCGCGGUAAUAC